Molecule: ribosomal RNA, 496 nt
Filed under: uncultured bacterium
Lineage: Bacteria
Description: partial 16S ribosomal RNA
Rfam family: Bacterial small subunit ribosomal RNA
Source: RNAcentral
AUGAACGCUGGCGGCGUGCCUAAUACAUGCAAGUCGCGCGAACGGACGAGAAGCUUGCUUCUCUGAUGUUAGCGGCGGACGGGUGAGUAACACGUGGAUAACCUACCUAUAAGACUGGGAUAACUUCGGGAAACCGGAGCUAAUACCGGAUAAUAUUUUGAACCGCAUGGUUCAAAAGUGAAAGACGGUCUUGCUGUCACUUAUAGAUGGAUCCGCGCUGCAUUAGCUAGUUGGUAAGGUAACGGCUUACCAAGGCAACGAUGCAUAGCCGACCUGAGAGGGUGAUCGGCCACACUGGAACUGAGACACGGUCCAGACUCCUACGGGAGGCAGCAGUAGGGAAUCUUCCGCAAUGGGCGAAAGCCUGACGGAGCAACGCCGCGUGAGUGGUGAAGGUCUUCGGAUCGUAAAACUCUGUUAUUAGGGAAGAACAUAUGUGUAAGUAACUGUGCACAUCUUGACGGUACCUAAUCAGAAAGCCACGGCUAACUACGUG